Molecule: ribosomal RNA, 613 nt
Filed under: uncultured bacterium
Lineage: Bacteria
Description: bacterial SSU rRNA
Rfam family: Bacterial small subunit ribosomal RNA (bases 1-533)
Source: RNAcentral
CCUACGGGAGGCAGCAGUAAGGAAUAUUGGUCAAUGGACGCAAGUCUGAACCAGCCAUGCCGCGUGAAGGAUGAAGGCCCUCUGGGUUGUAAACUUCUUUUAUAGGGGACGAAAAAAGGGAAUUCUUUCUCACUUGACGGUACCCUAGGAAUAAGCACCGGCUAACUCCGUGCCAGCAGCCGCGGUAAUACGGAGGGUGCAAGCGUUAUCCGGAUUCACUGGGUUUAAAGGGUGCGUAGGUGGGCAUUUAAGUCAGUGGUGAAAUCUCCGGGCUUAACCCGGAAACUGCCAUUGAUACUAUUUGUCUUGAAUAUUGUGGAGGUAAGCGGAAUAUGUCAUGUAGCGGUGAAAUGCUUAGAUAUGACAUAGAACACCCAUUGCGAAGGCAGCUUACUACGCAAAUAUUGACACUGAGGCACGAAAGCGUGGGGAUCAAACGGGAUUAGAUACCCUGGUAGUCCACGCCCUAAACGAUGGAUACUCGACAUCAGCGAUACACAGUUGGUGUNUGAGCGAAGACAUAAGUAUCCACCNCGGAAGUACGACCGACGAGUAGAACGUAAAUAGAGUAGUACGGCGUGAGAGUGCCGACGGACGACGACGAGGGAGGAGG